Non-coding RNA from Triticum urartu, 179 nucleotides. NCBI's taxonomy places the organism in Eukaryota, Viridiplantae, Streptophyta, Magnoliopsida, Poales, Poaceae. The record is from Rfam.
CUUAUACUCCCUCCGUCCAAAAAUACUUGUCAUCAAGAUGAAUAAAAGAAGAUGUAUCUAGACGUAUUUUUAUUCUAAAUACAUCCUUUUUAUCCAUUUUGAUGACAAGUAUUUAUAGUUCUAGAUAUAUCCAUUUUUAUCUAUUUUGAUGAAGUAUUUCCGGACGGAGGGAGUACUUC